GAUCAUUACUGAGAUAGGGUUCUUUUGAGCCCGACCUCCAACCCUUUGCUUAAAUUACCUUGUUGCUUUGGCAGGCCCGCUCUUCAUGGGCCGCCGGGGACGUUGAGUCGUCUCUGGCCAGUGCUUGCCAGUAGCCAAUAUCAAUUCUUUUUAACUAUGUCGUCUGAAUAUUCAAACAAAAUUGAAUUAAAACUUUCAACAACGGAUCUCUUGGUUCUGGCAUCGAUGAAGAACGCAGCGAAAUGCGAUAAGUAAUGUGAAUUGCAGAAUUCAGUGAAUCAUCGAAUCUUUGAACGCACAUUGCGCCCUUUGGUAUUCCGAAGGGCAUGCCUGUUCGAGCGUCAUUUUCAACCAUCAAGCUCGGCUUGUUAUUGGGUCCUUAUCGUUAAACCGAUAGGCCCGAAAGAUAAUGGCGGCGUCGAGAUGUGACCCCAGGUGCAGCGAGCUUUACAGCAUACACUGAGGUGGUUCUCUUGGCCCGGCCUUGACCAUUUUAUUUUCUAAGGUUGACCUCGGAUCAGGUAGGAAUACCCGCUGAACUUAAGCAUAUCAAUAAGCGGAGGAAAAGAAACCAACAGGGAUUGCCUUAGUAACGGCGAGUGAAGCGGCAAAAGCUCAAAUUUGAAAUCUGGCUCUUUCAGAGUCCGAGUUGUAAUUUGUAGAGGAUGUUUCGGGCAAGGCUUCGGUUUAAAUUCCUUGGAACAGGAUGUCAUAGAGGGUGAGAGCCCCGUCUUGAACCGCCGGCCGCGUCCAUGUGAAACUCCUUCGACGAGUCGAGUUGUUUGGGAAUGCAGCUCAAAAUGGGAGGUAAAUUUCUUCUAAAGCUAAAUAUUGGCCAGAGACCGAUAGCGCACAAGUAGAGUGAUCGAAAGAUGAAAAGCACUUUGAAAAGAGAGUUAAACAGUAUGUGAAAUUGUUGAAAGGGAAGCGCUUGCAACCAGACUUGUUCUGAACGGUUCCACCAUGAUUCUUCAUGGCUUAUUCCGUACUGACAGGCCAGCAUCGGUUCGGGUGGUUAGUUAAAGGCUUUGGGAAUGUAUCAACGUCUUCGGGGGUUGACUUAUAGCCCAGAGUGUAAUGUGACCUAUCUGGACCGAGGAACGCG
Molecule: ribosomal RNA, 1105 nt
Filed under: Eurotiomycetes sp. genotype 728 JMUR-2016
Lineage: Eukaryota; Fungi; Ascomycota; Eurotiomycetes
Description: eukaryotic LSU rRNA
Rfam family: Eukaryotic large subunit ribosomal RNA (bases 508-1105)
Source: RNAcentral